AUUUAUCUAGUAUAGAAGUAUAGCUGACUUCCAAUCAGAAGGCCUGAAUCUUUUCAGGAUAAGUA
RNAcentral lists this transfer RNA (65 nucleotides) under Agnetina aequalis. RNAcentral describes it as "tRNA-Gly". Lineage: Eukaryota; Metazoa; Arthropoda; Insecta; Plecoptera; Perlidae. The record is from RNAcentral.